CAGGAAGCUUCACACUAAGAAAGGAGAAAAAAAGCAGCAUUAGAAGAAGGGUGAAAAUAGAAAGUCUGGAAAGUCUCUUCUCAAGACCAAUCUGCCAAUCGCAAGAUAUCCGAAAGUGAGGCACCUACCGAAAAGGCCUAAGAAGCCGCCACCUCGCGUAUUGAUUGCACACCGAACGAGGGGCUCAUCUCAGCAAGGAAUAGGAUCCAAGGAACCCAUCUUGCGAACAUUGUAACCGACACGGCUUUAUGAGGGCUCAUGCAGUAGACAAGCAAUUGUCUGGUAGGUGACCGUCGAGGAGGUGAGCUCAAUAUACCAACGCAAGGCUGAAACCAUGCACAACUGCGAAUCGGAAACGAAAAGGAAUAGAAAAACCAAGAACACGUCAUCUGCCAGGUAUUUUGUCCUUAAGAGGGGGC
Non-coding RNA from Pelobates cultripes (western spadefoot toad), 419 nucleotides. The record is from the annotation of a GenBank genome assembly. Lineage: Eukaryota; Metazoa; Chordata; Amphibia; Anura; Pelobatidae.